This 423-nucleotide ribosomal RNA is filed under the name uncultured prokaryote. RNAcentral describes it as "bacterial SSU rRNA". It matches the Rfam family "Bacterial small subunit ribosomal RNA", at positions 355 to 796 of the family's 1533-position model. The record is from RNAcentral.
UGGGGAAUCUUGGACAAUGGGGGCAACCCUGAUCCAGCGACGCCGCGUGGGUGGUAAGGCCUUCGGGUUGUAAAGCCCUUUCACCGGGGAAGAUGAUGACAUUACCCGGAGAAGAAGCGCCGGCUAACUCCGUGCCAGCAGCCGCGGUAAGACGGAGGGCGCUAGCGUUGUUCGGAAUCACUGGGCGUAAAGGGCGCGUAGGCGGCUGUUUAAGUCGAGGGUGAAAGCCCGGGGCUCAACCCCGGAACGGCCUUCGAGACUGGGCAGCUCGAGACCGGAAGAGGAGGGUGGAAUACCCAGUGUAGAGGUGAAAUUCGUAGAUAUUGGGUGGAACACCAGUGGCGAAGGCGACUAUCUGGCUCGGUUCUGACGCUGAGGAGCGAAAGCUAGGGGAGCGAACGGGAUUAGAUACCCCUGUAGUCC